This 285-nucleotide unclassified non-coding RNA is filed under the name Venturiaceae sp. Its description in RNAcentral is "partial contains 5.8S ribosomal RNA, internal transcribed spacer 2, and large subunit ribosomal RNA". The stretch from base 1 to 71 matches the Rfam family "5.8S ribosomal RNA", at positions 84 to 154 of the family's 154-position model. Lineage: Eukaryota; Fungi; Ascomycota; Dothideomycetes; Venturiales; Venturiaceae. The record is from RNAcentral.
GUGAAUCAUCGAAUCUUUGAACGCAUAUUGCGCCCUCUGGUAUUCCGGGGGGCACACCUGUUCGAGCGCCAUUUCGACCCCUCAAGCAUUGCUUGGUGUUGGGCUAGGUCCGGAGGGACCGGCCCGUAACCCGUAGGCGGCCACCGCCCGCGCCCCCAGCGUAGCAGGCUCACGCACUCGCUCGGGGAUCGGCGAAUGGCCCGUCCAUCGCGAAAACCUCUCAAGGUUUGGCCUCGGAUCAGGUGGGGAUACCCGCUGAACUUAAGCAUAUCAAUAAGCGGAGGA